This 274-nucleotide ribosomal RNA is filed under the name uncultured bacterium. RNAcentral's name for it is "partial 16S ribosomal RNA". It matches the Rfam family "Bacterial small subunit ribosomal RNA", at positions 523 to 796 of the family's 1533-position model. The record is from RNAcentral.
AUACGGGGGGUGCAAGCGUUGUCCGGAAUUACUGGGCGUAAAGGGCGUGUAGGCGGCCUGGUCAGUCAGAUGUGAAAGCCCACGGCUUAACCGUGGAACUGCAUUUGAAACUGCCAGGCUUGAGUGUGAGAUGGGGUAGUGGAAUUCCCAGUGUAGCGGUGAAAUGCGUAGAUAUUGGGAAGAACACCAGUGGCGAAGGCGGCUACCUGGCUCACAUCUGACGCUAAUGCGCGAAAGCGCGGGGAGCAAACAGGAUUAGAAACCCCAGUAGUCC